UUCUUUCUCAUCUCAAUGAAGCUAAUAUCCUCGACCCAGCUUGUUACACCAUUUCAAUGAAGCAAGAAAAUGUAAGUGGUCAGAAAAAACCAGCAAAGAGAUACGAGAAGUUGGAAAUACUAGAUCAACUUAAAGAAGCAAGGAGAAGAAUGUUUUCUCAAGUUUGGUCCAGAAGGUUUGCAGCUCAAGAUGGAUUUCUCCAAAUUCCCCUUCAACUUGGUUAUGAUGACAAGUCUUGCCCUCUUCUGGAGAAAUAUAUCCUUUCAGAUAUCUGGGCAAAAAGUCCUUUCGUCAGAAAAACAAUUCGUGCCCUACCGGUAGUCUCUUUAACUCACUUCCUCCCUUGACAGUGGUGAUCAUGAUAUGGUUGUACCAUAUGUUCGAACUGAGGCAUGGAUGAGAUCAUUAGGGUAUUCAAUGAUUGUGGAAUGGAGGACAUGGUGUGUAGAUGGACAAGUUGGUGGAUACACAAGAACAUAUGAUCACAACCUAACAUUUGCAACUGUGAAGGGAGUUGGACAUACAGCACCGGAAUACAAGCCUAGAGAAGCAUUUUCAAUGUUCAAAUCAUGGAUUUCUGGAAAUCCUUUUUGUACAUUCAGUUAAGAUAUUAUUAUUGUCUUAUUUUAAAAAAUAUCAUUUGAAGUAUAUUCAUGAAAAUAAUGAGGUCUAACCUCCUUUCUCAAACUGUGGAACUUUGGAAAGCCUAUGUGAACAUUCAGUUAAAAUACU
Molecule: RNA transcript, 732 nt
Organism: Cryptomeria japonica (Japanese cedar)
Lineage: Eukaryota; Viridiplantae; Streptophyta; Pinopsida; Cupressales; Cupressaceae
Gene name: putative serine carboxypeptidase-like 52
Exons: 5
Source: RefSeq, a predicted model, not a curated record